UUGAACAGGUAUUAAACAGGUGUUGAACAGGUAUUGAACAGGUAUUAAACAGGUAUUGAAGGAGUGUUGAACAGGUAUUAAACAGGUAUUGAAGGAGUGUU
Long non-coding RNA from Oncorhynchus keta (chum salmon), 101 nucleotides. RefSeq lists it as uncharacterized. The transcript is spliced from 3 exons. The record is from RefSeq and is a predicted model, not a curated record. Lineage: Eukaryota; Metazoa; Chordata; Actinopteri; Salmoniformes; Salmonidae.